UGCCAGCAGCCGCGGUAAUACGGAAGGUGCAAGCGUUAUCCGGUUUUAUUGGGUUUAAAGGGUGCGUAGGCGGCUUAUUAAGUCAGUUGUGAAAUCCUAGUGCUUAACGCUAGAACUGCAAUUGAUACUAUUAGGCUUGAGUUAAGAAUAGGUAAGUAGAAUUUAUGGUGUAGUAGUGAAAUGCUUAGAUAUCAUAAGGAAUACCAAUAGCGUAGGCAGCUUACUGGUCUUUAACUGACGCUGAGGCACGAAAGCGUGGGGAGCAAACAGGAUUAGAUACCCUGGUAGUCCACGCCGUAAACGAUGAUCACUCGGUAUACAUAAAUUUAUGUGUGUCUAAUAGCUAGCGUUAACUGAUCCACA
This 363-nucleotide ribosomal RNA is filed under the name Cardinium endosymbiont of Bemisia tabaci. RNAcentral describes it as "bacterial SSU rRNA". It matches the Rfam family "Bacterial small subunit ribosomal RNA", at positions 506 to 873 of the family's 1533-position model. Lineage: Bacteria; Pseudomonadati; Bacteroidota; Cytophagia; Cytophagales; Amoebophilaceae. The record is from RNAcentral.